UAAACUAGGAUUAGAUACCCUAUUAUUAUAAAUGUUUAUUUUUAUACUAAAUUAUUAAUAGUUAUGUUCUUUAAAAUUAAAAAAUUUGGCGGUAUUUUAGUCUUUUCAGAGGAACCUGUCCUGUAAUUGAUAGUCCACGAUUAGGGAUACUUUAUUUAUUAAUUUACAUAUCGUCGUAGUUUGAAUAUUUUAUUAGAAUUAUAAUAUUCAAGAUUUUAUUUUAGAAAAUAUAUCAGAUCAAGGUGUAGUUUAUAAUAAAGGAGAGGUGGGUUACAAUAAAUUUAUUUUUGAAUAAAUUUUUUGAAAAAAUUUUGAAUUUGGAUUUGAAAGUAAUUUUUUGAGUUUUACUAAAAAUGAUUAUAGCUCUAAAAUAUGUACACAUCGCCCGUCGCUCUUAA
Molecule: ribosomal RNA, 398 nt
Filed under: Bruchidius nigricornis
Lineage: Eukaryota; Metazoa; Arthropoda; Insecta; Coleoptera; Chrysomelidae
Description: partial 12S ribosomal RNA
Source: RNAcentral